RNAcentral lists this ribosomal RNA (508 nucleotides) under uncultured bacterium. RNAcentral's name for it is "partial 16S ribosomal RNA". It matches the Rfam family "Bacterial small subunit ribosomal RNA", at positions 30 to 523 of the family's 1533-position model. The record is from RNAcentral.
AUUGAACGCUGGCGGCAGGCCUAACACAUGCAAGUCGAGCGGCAGCGGGAAAGUAGCUUGCUACUUUUGCCGGCGAGCGGCGGACGGGUGAGUAAUGCCUGGGAAAUUGCCCAGUCGAGGGGGAUAACAGUUGGAAACGACUGCUAAUACCGCAUACGCACUACGGGGGAAAGCAGGGGACCUUCGGGCCUUGCGCGAUUGGAUAUGCCAAGGUGGGAUUAGCUAGUUGGUGAGGUAAUGGCUCACCAAGGCGACGAUCCAUAGCUGGUCUGAGAGGAUGAUCAGCCACACUGGAACUGAGACACGGUCCAGACUCCUACGGGAGGCAGCAGUGGGGAAUAUUGCACAAUGGGGGAAACCCUGAUGCAGCCAUGCCGCGUGUGUGAAGAAGGCCUUCGGGUUGUAAAGCACUUUCAGCGAGGAGGAGAGGUUGAUGCCUAAUACGUAUCAACUGUGACGUUACUCGCAGAAGAAGCACCGGCUAACUCCGUGCCAGCCGCCGCAGUAA